AAGCGGCAAUAGCUCAGAUUUGAAAUCUGGUCCUUUCAGGGCCCGAGUUGUAAUCUGCAGAGGAUGCUUCGGUGUCAGCCUCGGCCUAAGUUCCUUGGAACAAGACGUCACAGAGGGUGAGAAUCCCGUAUGUGGUCGGCUGCUUUCACCAUGUGAAGCUCCUUCGACGAGUCGAGUUGUUUGGGAAUGCAGCUCUAAAUGGGAGGUAAAUUUCUUCUAAAGCUAAAUAUUGGCCAGAGACCGAUAGCGCACAAGUAGAGUGAUCGAAAGAUGAAAAGCACUUUGGAAAGAGAGUUAAAAAGCACGUGAAAUUGUUGAAAGGGAAGCGCUUGCAAUCAGACUUGCUCAUGAUGGCUUAUCCAAGCUAUAACGGCUUGGUGCACUCCUUCAUGGUCAGGCCAGCAUCAGUUCGGGCGGCCGGAUAAAGGGUCUGGGAAUGUGGCUCCCCUCGGGGAGUGUUAUAGCCCAGAUUGUAAUGCGGUCAGCCUGGACUGAGGUCCGCGCUUCGGCUAGGAUGCUGGCGUAAUGGUUGUAAGCGGCCCGUCUUGAAACACGGACCAAGGAGUCUAACAUCUAUGCGAGUGUUUGGSUGUUAAACCCAUACGCGUAAUGAAAGUGAACGGAGGUGGGAACCCGUAAGGGCGCACCAUCGACCGAUCCUGAUGUCUUCGGAUGGAUUUGAGUAAGAGCAUAGCUGUUGGGACCCGAAAGAUGGUGAACUAUGCGUGGGUAGGGUGAAGCCAGAGGAAACUCUGGUGGAGGCUCGCAGCGGUUCUGACGUGCAAAUCGAUCGUCAAACCUGCGCAUAGGGG
RNAcentral lists this ribosomal RNA (812 nucleotides) under Pseudorobillarda sp. MFLUCC12-0316. RNAcentral's name for it is "LSU rRNA". It matches the Rfam family "Eukaryotic large subunit ribosomal RNA", at positions 96 to 923 of the family's 3401-position model. The record is from RNAcentral. Lineage: Eukaryota; Fungi; Ascomycota; Dothideomycetes; Pleosporales.